Molecule: small nuclear RNA, 106 nt
Filed under: Dasypus novemcinctus (nine-banded armadillo)
Lineage: Eukaryota; Metazoa; Chordata; Mammalia; Cingulata; Dasypodidae
Source: RNAcentral
GUGUUACCAGCAGUGCAUAUACUAAAAUUGGAAUCUCUAAAAUUAGAGAUAAGCAUGGCCCCUCCACAAGGAUGACAUGCAAAUUCGUGAAGCUUUCCUUAAUAAA